This 608-nucleotide ribosomal RNA is filed under the name uncultured Lachnospiraceae bacterium. Its description in RNAcentral is "bacterial SSU rRNA". It matches the Rfam family "Bacterial small subunit ribosomal RNA", at positions 91 to 715 of the family's 1533-position model. Lineage: Bacteria; Bacillati; Bacillota; Clostridia; Lachnospirales; Lachnospiraceae. The record is from RNAcentral.
CUUAGUGGCGGACGGGUGAGUAACACGUGAGUAACCUGCCUCUCAGAGUGGAAUAACGUUUGGAAACGAACGCUAAUACCGCAUAACGUGAGAAGAGGGCAUCCUCUUUUUACCAAAGAUUUAUCGCUGAGAGAUGGGCUCGCGGCCGAUUAGGUAGUUGGUGAGAUAACAGCCCACCAAGCCGACGAUCGGUAGCCGGACUGAGAGGUUGAUCGGCCACAUUGGGACUGAGACACGGCCCAGACUCCUACGGGAGGCAGCAGUGGGGGAUAUUGCACAAUGGGGGGAACCCUGAUGCAGCGACGCCGCGUGAGGGAAGACGGUUUUCGGAUUGUAAACCUCUGUCUUUAGGGACGAAAAAAUGACGGUACCUAAGGAGGAAGCCACGGCUAACUACGUGCCAGCAGCCGCGGUAAUACGUAGGUGGCAAGCGUUGUCCGGAAUUACUGGGUGUAAAGGGAGCGUAGGCGGGGAGACAAGUUGAAUGUCUAAACUAUCGGCUUAACUGAUAGUCGCGUUCAAAACUAUCACUCUUGAGUGCAGUAGAGGUAGGCGGAAUUCCUAGUGUGAGCGGUGAAAUGCGUAGAUAUUAGGAGGAACACCAGUGG